Cyprinus carpio carpio is the source of this 3290-nucleotide long non-coding RNA. The record is from Ensembl. NCBI's taxonomy places the organism in Eukaryota, Metazoa, Chordata, Actinopteri, Cypriniformes, Cyprinidae.
GUCAGACAGAGUUGUUUUUUUGAUUCAUCAGUUGUUGUUUUUGACACUGAUGCUAGAGUUGAGGGUGUUGGAGUGGUGGUUGUGGUUGCUAAAGUUGUUGUUGCAUCAGAUGUUUUUGUGGUGUCAGACAGAGUUGUGGUUGCUACAUCAGAUGUUGUUGACGUUGGUUCAAACGUUGAGGAUGUUGGAAAGGUGGUUGUGGAAGCCAAAGAUGUUGUUGUAUCAAUUGUUGUUGUGGUGUCAGGCAUAAUUGUGGUUGCUGCAUCAGAUGUUGAUGCUGGUGCUAUAGUGGUCAAUGUCAGAGGUGUGGUUGUGGAAGCCAAAACUGUUGUUGCAUCAGUUGUUGUUGAUGUGGUGUCAGACAGAGUUGUUGUUGAUGCAUGAGUUGUUGUUGAAACUGGCGCUACAGUUGAGGAUGUUGUAGGAGUGAAUGUAGAAGCCAAAGUUGUUGUUGCAUCUAUCAUUGUUGUGGUAUCAGGAAUACUUGUGGUUGCUGCAUCAGAUGUUGUUGACGUUGGUUCAACCGUUGAGGAUGUUGAAAAGGUGGUUGUGGAAUCCAAAGAUGUUGUUGUAUCAGUUGUUGUUGUGGUGUCAGGCAUAGUUGUGGUUACGGCAUCAGAUGUUGAAAUUGGUGCAAUAUUAGAGGAUGUUGGAGCAGUGGUUGUGAGAGCCAAAGUUGUUGUUGUAUCAGUUGUUGUUGUUGUUGUGGUGUCAGACAGAGUUGUUGUUGAUGCAUCAGUUGUUGUUGAAACUGGCACUACAGUUGAGGAUGUUGUAGGAGUGAUUGUGGAAGCCAAAGUUGUUGUUGCAUCUAUCAUUGUUGUGGUAUCAGGAAUACUUGUGGUUGCUGCAUCAGAUGUUGAUGCUGGUGCUAUAGUGGUCGAUGUCAGAGUAGUGAUUGUGGAAGCCAAAGAUGUUGUUGUAUCAAUUGUUGUUGUGGUGUCAGGCAUAGUUGUGGUUGCUGCAUCAGAUGUUGAUGCUGGUGCUAUAGUGGUCGAUAUCAGAGGUGUGGUUGUAGAAGCCAAAACUGUUGUUGCAUCAGUUGAUGUUGUUGUGGUGUCAGACAGAGUUGUUGUUGAUGCAUCAGUUAUUGUUGAAACUGGCGCUACAUUUGAGGGUGUUGUAGGAGUGAAAGUGGAAGCCAAAGUUGUUGUUACAUCUAUCAUUGUUGUGGUAUCAGGAAUACUUGUGGUUGCUGCAUCAGAUGUUGGUGACGAUGGUUCAACCGUUGAGGAUGUUGAAAAGGUGGUUGUGGAAGCCAAAGAUUUUGUUGUAUCAAUUGUUGUUGUGGUGUCAGGCAUAGUUGUGGUUGCUGCAUCAGUUGUUGUUGAUACUGGCGCUACAGUUGAGAAUGUUGUAGGAGUGAAAGUGGAAGCCAAAGUUUUUGUUGCAUCUAUCAUUGUUGUGGUAUCAGGAAUACUUGUGGUUGCUGCAUCAGAUGUUGUUGACAUUAGUUCAACCGUUGAGGAUGUUAGAAAAGUGGUUGUGGAAGCCAAAGAUGUUGUUGUAUCAAUUGUUGUUGUGGUGUCAGGCAUAGUUGUGGUUGCUGCAUCAGUUGUUGUUGAUACUGGCGCUACAUUUAAGGAUGUUGUAGGAGUGAUUGUGGAAGCCAAAGUUGUUGUUGCAGCUAUCACUGUUGUGGUAUCAGGUAUACUUGUGCUUGCUGCAUCAGUUGUUGUUGAUAUUGGCACUACAGUUGAGGAUGUUGUAGGAAUGAUUGUGGAAGCCAAAGUUGUUGUUGCAUCUAUCAUUGUUGUGGUGUCAGGAAUACUUGUGGUUGCUGCAUCAGAUGUUGUUGACGAUGGUUCAACCGUUGAGGAUGUUGAAAAGGUGGUUGUGGAAGCCAAAGAUAUUAUUGUAUCAACUGUUGUUGUAUCAAUUGUUGUUGUGGUGUCAGACAUAGUUGUUGUUGAUGCAUCAAUUGUUGUUGAUACUGGCGCUACAGUUGAGGAUGUUGUAGGAAUGAUUGUGGAAGCCAAAGUUGUUGUUGCAUCUAUCAUUGUUGUGGUAUCAGGAAUACUUGUGGUUGCUGCAUUAGAUGAUGUUGACGUUGGUUUAACCGUUGAGGAUGUUGAAAAGGUGGUUGUGGAAGCCAAAGAUAUUAUUGUAUCAAUUGUUGUUGUAUCAAUUGUUGUUGUGGUGUCAGACAUAGUUGUUGUUGAUGCAUGAGUUGUUGUUGAAACUGGCACUACAGUUGAGGAUGUUGUAGGAAUGAUUGUGGAAGCCAAAGUUGUUGUUGUAUCAAUUGUUGUUUUGGUGUCAGGCAUAGUUGUGGUUGCUGCAUCAGAUUUGAUGCUGGUGCCAUAGUGGUCAUGUCAGAGGUGUGGUUGUGGAAGAGAAAAUUGUUGUUGCAUCAGUUGUUGUUGUGGUGUCAGCCAGAGUUGCUGUUGAUGCAUCGGUUGUUGUAGCAAAAGUUGUAGUUGCAUCAAUAGUUGUUGUGGAGUCAGCUGUAGUUGUGGUUGCUCCCUCUAUUUUUGACACUAUAGUUGAGGAUUUUGGAGGGGUGGUUGUGGAAGCCAAACUUGUUGCAUCAGUAGUUAUUGUGGCGUCAGACAGCGUUGUGGUUGAUGCAUCAGUUAUUGAUGCUGGUUCUAUAGUUGAGGAUGUUGGGGGGGGGGUUGUGUAAGCCAGCUUUUUUGUUGAAUAAAUAGUUGUUAUGGUGUCAGGCAUAGUUGUGGUUGAUGCAUCUGUUGUUGACAUUGGAAUGGUGGUUGUAGAAGCCAAAUUUGUUUUUCUAUCAAUAGUUAUAGUGGUGUCAAUUAUUGUGGUUACUGCAUCAGUUGUUGAAGUUGCUGCUGUAUUUGAGGAUGAUGGAGGAGUUGUUGUGGAAGCCAUAUUUUUUGUUUCAUCUGUAGUUGUAGUACUGUCAAACAGAGUUAUUGUUGCUUCAUCCGUUGUUGUUGAUGUUGGUACUACAGUUGAAUAUGAUGGAGAGGUGGUGUCUGUAUCAGUCAUCAAUUUUGGUGCUAUAGUUGAGGAUGCUGAAAACAUGCUUUUUGUAUCCAAAGUUGUUGUUUCCAUUAUAGUUGUAGUUGUAUAAAUUGUUUUUGAUUGGGCUGUUUUUGUGUCUUUUGGAUCCUUUUUUUUUGUGAUUUCAGAAAUUGGUGUUGAUGUUAAAUCUUGAAUUUUUAUUGUUGAUUGCACAUCUUUUGCUGUAGAAGCCCCGGUUUCUGUAGUAACUGGUGUGGUAUAGUCUGAUGUCCUUCGACCUGAUUCUGUAGAUUUUCCAAGUCCUGUCGUACAUCCAUAAACCAUCCACCAGAUACAGACUGUGAAAAGAGAUAUUUCAU